CCCUUUUCAGCGGUGGGUCUCAUCUACAGGAGACCACCAAUCAAUCAGCCAGUCUCCUGGGACCAAUCCCCAUGGGCGGUGGGCAGCAGGCUGGAGGAGGCCGCAUGAGCUCCGGCUGGGGUGGUGGUGCUGGAUCUAAUGUUGGAUCAGGCAAGCCACAUCAACGCCCUAUGGCACUUAAGCAGAUCAGAAGCAAAGUAGUGGUGGCCAAAUAUGACAGGAGUCCUCUGUCUAACAAAGCCCUGUUCGCCCUGGUUGAACCCUUUGGAACUCUCUAGAACACCUGGUU
This is a long non-coding RNA of Oncorhynchus keta (chum salmon), 289 nucleotides long. RefSeq lists it as uncharacterized. Lineage: Eukaryota; Metazoa; Chordata; Actinopteri; Salmoniformes; Salmonidae. The record is from RefSeq and is a predicted model, not a curated record. The transcript is spliced from 3 exons.